CUCCCACUGGGUCCACAUGGUGAGUUGUAUGAUUAUUUCAUUAUAUAUUACAAUGUAAUAAUAACCGAAAUAGAGAGCACAAUAAAUGCAAUGCACUU
Molecule: long non-coding RNA, 98 nt
Organism: Cebus imitator (Panamanian white-faced capuchin)
Lineage: Eukaryota; Metazoa; Chordata; Mammalia; Primates; Cebidae
Exons: 3
Source: RefSeq, a predicted model, not a curated record